This 816-nucleotide ribosomal RNA is filed under the name uncultured Verrucomicrobia subdivision 3 bacterium. Its description in RNAcentral is "bacterial SSU rRNA". It matches the Rfam family "Bacterial small subunit ribosomal RNA", at positions 8 to 796 of the family's 1533-position model. Lineage: Bacteria; Pseudomonadati; Verrucomicrobiota; Verrucomicrobiia; Limisphaerales. The record is from RNAcentral.
AGAGUUUGAUCCUGGCUCAGAACGAACGCUGGCGGCGUGGAUAAGACAUGCAAGUCGAGCGGGAUACACUCGGUAGCAAUAUCGGGUGUAUUUAGCGGCGCAAGGGUGCGUAACACGUGGGUAAUUUGCCAUGAAGCUGGGGAUAACUCCGGGAAACCGGAGCUAAUACCGAAUGUGGACUUGGGAGGCAUCUCCUGAACUCUAAAGCUGGGGACCCGAAAGGGCCUGGCACUUCAUGAUAAGCCCGCGGCCUAUCAGCUAGUUGGCGUGGUAACGGCACACCAAGGCAAAGACGGGUAGCUGGUCUGAGAGGACGACCAGCCACACUGGAACUGAGACACGGUCCAGACACCUACGGGUGGCAGCAGUCGAGAAUUUUUCACAAUGGGCGCAAGCCUGAUGGAGCGACGCCGCGUGGGGGAUGAAGGGCUUCGGCUCGUAAACCCCUGUCAGUCGCGAACAAUGUCUAUCCGUGAACAACGGGUGGAUUGAUAGUAGUGACAGAGGAAGGGACGGCUAACUCUGUGCCAGCAGCCGCGGUAAUACAGAGGUCCCGAGCGUUGUUCGGAUUCACUGGGCGUAAAGGGUGCGUAGGCGGCUUUGCAAGUCUGAUGUGAAAUCUCCGGGCCCAACCCGGAAAUGGCAUUAGAAACUGUGAGGCUGGAGGCUUGGAGGGGGAACUGGAAUACUUGGUGUAGCAGUGAAAUGCGUAGAUAUCAAGUGGAACACCGGUGGCGAAGGCGAGUUCCUGGACAAGACCUGACGCUGAGGCACGAAAGCCGGGGGAGCAAACAGGAUUAGAUACCCCGGUAGUCC